Molecule: ribosomal RNA, 253 nt
Filed under: uncultured bacterium
Lineage: Bacteria
Description: partial 16S ribosomal RNA
Rfam family: Bacterial small subunit ribosomal RNA
Source: RNAcentral
UACGAAGGGGGCUAGCGUUGCUCGGAAUCAUUGGGCGUAAAGCGCACGUAGGCGGACCGCUAAGUCGGAUGUGAAAUCCCUCAGCUUAACUGAGGAAGUGCAUUCGAAACUGACGGUCUUGAGUACGGAAGAGGGUCGCGGAAUUCCCGGUGUAGAGGUGAAAUUCGUAGAUAUCGGGAGGAACACCAGUGGCGAAGGCGGCGACCUGGGCCGAUACUGACGCUGAGGUGCGAAAGCGUGGGGAGCAAACAGG